ACUGGAGCAUACAGGUCUGUGAUGCCCUUAGAUGUUCUGGGCUGCACGCGCGCGACACUGAUCUAUUCAACGAGUGGCUGUGUCGAUAGACUUGGCAAAUCUUGUGAAAGUAGAUCGUGAUGGGGAUUGAUGCUUGUAAUUGUUCAUCAUGAACGAGGAAUUCCUAGUAAACGCAAGUCAUCAACUUGCAUUGAUUACGUCCCUGCCCUUUGUACACACCGCCCGUCGCACCUACCGAUUGAAUGGUCCGAUGAACACUUUGGAUUUUAGUAAA
This 274-nucleotide ribosomal RNA is filed under the name Blastocystis hominis. RNAcentral describes it as "partial 18S ribosomal RNA". It matches the Rfam family "Eukaryotic small subunit ribosomal RNA", at positions 1444 to 1724 of the family's 1831-position model. The record is from RNAcentral. Lineage: Eukaryota; Bigyra; Opalinata; Blastocystidae.